Molecule: ribosomal RNA, 254 nt
Filed under: uncultured bacterium
Lineage: Bacteria
Description: partial 16S ribosomal RNA
Rfam family: Bacterial small subunit ribosomal RNA
Source: RNAcentral
UACAGAGGGGGCAAGCGUUGUUCGGAAUUACUGAGCGUAAAGGGCGCGUAGGCGGCCGCCUAAGUCAGACGUGAAAUCCCUCGGCUCAACCGGGGAACUGCGUCUGAUACUGGGUGGCUUGAAUCCGGGAGAGGGAUGCGGAAUUCCAGGUGUAGCGGUGAAAUGCGUAGAUAUCUGGAGGAACACCGGUGGCGAAGGCGGCUUGCUGGGCCUUACCUGGACGCUGAGGAGCGAAAGCGUGGGGAGCGAACAGG